UUGAUAUUAUAUCGUCUUUCAUUUUGUCGUGCAAAUAAAAUAACAGAAAUAUUUAGAAAAUAUCAUUCGAAUAAACUAGUGAAGGUGAGCUCCAGCAAAGUAGAUCCUUAAAAUAGUAUUGUACGAAAAGCGUAUCACAAGGCGGAACGUUGUCAAUUUGUAUAUAUACAGAAAUGUUAUUCAUACAGUCAGGAUUUUACUUCUUCAAAAUUAUCUCCCCAUUACGGCUCAUUCAUGCUCACAAUCGUAAGAAAGUGGAAGUCAUUGUAGUAUGACGCUCUGCAAUUUUGCUCUUGAAAAAUAAAUUUAUCCACAUACAUGAGCACUAUACGAUAGAUCGUUAUAUGUCAGUUAUAUUUUUAAAAGACAAAUGUAAUCUACUAGGCUAAGUGAGCAUUAGUUAAGUAUCUUGUCUGCAUUGAUUCAACUUAAAAUUUGCUGUUCGGAUGUCAGAUGGAAUUUUUGAAAAAUCUUAGACAAUUUAAAAAAAUUCUUUUAUUAAAUAUAUUCAGAUGGAAGGGGCAGGACUAAACAUUUUCAGUGAUUAUUAACCCUAGUUAUCACACACAGAAAAUUCAUAUUUUUUCGAAAGAUAGGCCAUUUUCAUCAUCCAAAUUAAAAGGACUGUCAGUCAAGUAAUUUUAGAAAAAAAUUAGCUAUUUCGACACCCUACUCUGUUUUUGUGAUUCAUUAGAUAGUAUCUCACUUGACCCAUAUAUUUCAUCUUUUCGUACUGUCAUUUUUUUACGUUAUAAAGUUCCAAACCUGUAGCUUUUGAUGAUAUAUUAAUUGAUAGAAUCUGAAGCGAGAUUGCCUUAUAUAAAUUUACUCCUUGCUUUGUACUUUUUUGAAAGAGCAAAAAUAUUAACCGCAAACUGAUGGCUUACAAGACGGUAGGAGCAUUAGAUCUGUUUGACCGAUUUUUUAAAAAUCAAAUUGUUGAAAAAUCCAUCCCCUUUUUUAAAGUCAUGGUCAUUCCCUAACUGCUAGAAAAGUUGUUUAAAAAUUUGAAUUCGGUUCUACGUAUACGUAAUGAACAUUUAAAUGACAUCUGGUUUACAAGUGUGAACAAGUCUUAUGUACAGGUAGCUAAACAAGUUGUAUAGAUGUGAACAAAUUUAAUGUGAAACUUGUGUACAUUACAUUAAACCAAAUGUAAACAUGUUUACUGUACACGGCGUUUGGUGUGAACACGGCCUAAGAUAUAUCACCGACGUUGUAUUACAUGAACAUGAAUAACACGACUGUUGAAUACUAGUAAUUGAUUUCGAAUUGACAAAUAUAACACAUCUCCGUAUUUUAUAAAUAUGUAUUGUAUUAUACCUUUUAUCCUAUGCAUGCUUAGUAUAACAAAUCUUCGUUUUUCUUCAUUUGGAUGAAUACCCUUGAUGAAAAAAAAACUAUGUGUAAGUGAAAAAAUCUUAUUGAUUCCGAAAAUAUACCAUAUACAAAAUUAGACAUAUUUUCAACUAAAACAGUUGUUUGCAAAAUUGAACAUAUUAUAUGUAAAUGAAUUUUACGUUAAUGUUGGUUUAAUAUUUAUUCCUUAUAUUCCUGUAAAACAUGUGACAAAAAGCUGUUUGAAAUGGAUAUGUUUCCAUUAUUUUAUUUUCUAUACUCAUUGCAGUUUCAUUUAGGAGAAUAAACACUCUCUCAGUUCAUAAUUUGUUCUAAAUUAUUUUAAUAUUGUAUAGAACAAUAUAUAUUUUGAUUGGAGCCUUUAAGUUGUUUCGAAAUUAUUUUUUUCAGGAAUGGUUAGCCCAUUUUCGUGAAUUAUGCAAAUUACAUUGUUUUACAAAAUAAACAAAAUCAAGAGUAGAUUUUAUAAUUAAUAUUGAAGAUGAUUUAUAAUUUGACGAAUAUACACCUACUGUUGUAACAAUAGGUUAACACAAUCAUUAAUAUCAAAUAUCGCCUAGAGCAUACAACACGUUUUUUUUUGUAUUCAUAACUGAUGACACAUUUUAUUUUACAUGGAAGAUAACAUUACACAUUUCAUCAAAUUGAGAAAAAGGUAAUACAAUAUAAAUCAUUUUAUAUUUCAGAUUCUUGAAAAAUAAUCACAUUUCUGAAAUUCCGCCAGGGACGUUUACAGACAUCCAUAAUCUGUAUGUAUCGACUUUUUCAAUUAUUAUCUUUUUUUUUUCUUUCUUUCAAAAAAUAUUAGACACAAUUAUUUUUAUGAACCAUUAGGUUAAAUAUUAGAUCAAUCAGAGCUGGUUUUUAGCUCACCUGACCCAGUCGUCGUUCGUUGUCUGUCGCUGAUUUUGAAAAAAAAUCUUCUCUAAAAGUCUUAAAACAAAUGUAACCGACCUUGGCCACAAUCAUGAGUAAGGUAACAAUGAGUCCGACAACCAAAAUAGCCGACAUGGCUAAUGAAAGGUCAUAUAGGUAUUUGAAAACAGUUGUAAAAAGAGAAAACCUUAGAAGUUCAAAAAUGUUCAAAAUGUUAAGCUUUUUUUAUACGUCAAAACUGUCGAACAACUUGUUAUAGCGGUUAUUGUCCUUAAUAGUUACCAAAGUUACCAGAAUUAUAAUUUUAUACGCCAGACGCGUGUCGUGUUUCUUCUACAUUAGACUCAUCAGUGACGCUCAGAUCAAAAUAGUUAAAUGUUAAAAAUUUACCAUUUUCAGUUUUUCCUAUUGUCAUGAAAACUAUGAUAGAUAGAGAGAACAUUUUCAUUGCAAAAACUAUCAGCAUUACAAGUUACAAAUUAGUAUGCAUUGUCAACAUUGUAUGGUGAAACUUUUUUUUUUUAGAGUUAUUGCAAUCUGAUAACGAUUUUUACCAUUGUAAGGGCAUUUUUUGCCGUGUUAUAAGCUAUAAUAGAUAGAUACAAAUUGAAAUAUCUACAAUUAAGUGCAAGAGAUGAAAUCCUCCGACGACUCCUUAUUUUAAUUAUUGCCCUUAAAUGUUGAUUUUUAUAAUAAAGUUUGCAUAUUUCCUUUUGUUAUGAAAAUAAAAAAAAGGUAAACAGACAUUUAAAUCACAAGAUCUGCUACAAAAUUAAAUUUUGAUUGGUUUGGUUUGUAGACUGUCACUCUUUGUAUAAGGAAUUGCUCUUAAAUUAGGAUUUUAUUCAUCCCUCUCGUGUGUUUUGAGCCAGAAAUUAAGAUAAAGAGAAACUAAAGAGACGUAAUUCUAGAAGUCAGUGAUAAAAGAGGAACGAAAGAUACCAAAGGGACAGUCAAACUCAUAAAUCUGACAACGCCAUGGCUAAAAAUGAAAAAAAGACAAACAAAAAAACAAUAAUACACACGACACAACAUAGAAAACUAAAGAAUAAACAACACGAACCCACCAAAAACUAGGGGUGAUCUCAGGUGCUCCGAAAGGUAAGCAGAUCCUGCUCAUCAUGUGGCACCCGUCGUGUUGCUUAUGUGAUUACAAAUCCGGUAAAUAGUCUAAUUCGGUAGGUCACAUUCAUGAAAGGGAAGGGGAUUGUAGUUACGACGUAAGAAACAUAUCCGAUAUCAUUUGUGAAACGGUUAUUCCAUAACGAUCAACCAACUCGUGAUGGCGUCCGUAAAAUUUACGAAGGGAUGAUUUCAACUUCACCAUUUGGAACUCUUGGUUUAAUAGCUUUACUUGUGAGCAGUAACCCUAUAUCAAGAAAAUCAUGAUAGGAAAUGCAAGCACGGGAAUAUCGUAUCAUUGGCAGAAAUAUACCCGUAGCAGUGCUGCUGGAAUGUUGCAAUUAGAAAUGGAAUGUUCACAAUUGGAAAGCUGAAAAUCAUCUUUUGUCGUAAAGUUUUGUUUUCAACCGACCCUCAUUGUCAAUUUCUAGAUGCAAGUCAAGAUAUGAAGCCGACUAAACUGUAUCUGUAGUAUCCUUUAUCUCCAAUUCGAUGGGAUAGAUGCGUUUCAAUAGUCACCAAAUUUUGAAUUGUUUAGUGAAAGAAGUCAUCUAUAUAGCGGAAAGUAGAGUUAAAGGAUAUUGCUAACUUCUUAUCUUUCUUCCUAAGAAGUUCCUGCAUGAAGUCAGCCUCAUAAUAAUAAAGAAACAAGUCGGCAAGUAGAGGGCACAGUUUGUUUCCCAUUGGGAUGCUGAAAAACACGUCCUCCGAACGUUACAAAUAUGUUGUCAAUCGAGAAAUCAAGCAUCUUGAUAAUAUCGGUUUCAGAGAUUUUUUGUUUGAAUCAGAGUGAUUUUUUCAAAGUAUGAGUUAUCCCUCCCUAAACAAGAUACUUGUAUCUACGUUGGCCAUUCUUUUUUUGAAGCAAAGAAUACCAACUCUUUCAAUUUGUCUUUUAGUUUGGAAUGUGGAAUACUUGUGUAAAUGAGUAGAAAAAGUUAAAUUUUUAAUACUGUUACAAGAUGAAAGAGAGUUAGAUUGUAUGUACUCUAAAAGAUCAUUGGAAUUUUUAAGUAUCCACAUCUGAUUCACGCCACCUCUAGAAUAGGCAGUUUCACAAUAACUUUGAAGCCCGUCUUUGAUUGCUGAUAAAAUAGAUGUUAAUAAUUUAGAAAGAGGUUGCGUGGAGCACUUGGAAGACCCAGCAAUAUACCGUUGUUUGAAGGACACUUAUGUAGUUUAGUAUCCAAUACAGUGAUGGAAGAUCCAGUUCUUCAUCUUUGGUUGAAAUACCAAAGAACAAAGAACAGACCUAUUAUUAUCCAGAAUUUCCUCUUUGGUAAGUGUCGUGAGGGUAUAUGUUGAGUUUCCAAGUGAAUUGUCUAUACCUAAUUCGUAUAUCAAGCAAUUAAUUAGUACUUUUUACAGACAAAAAACGAUGUUAUUUGGAGCUUUGUCUGCGGGGACAACAACAUAUUUAUCAUGGAGGUCGGAUAAAGUGUUUAGCAACAUUUGGGUCUUAAAGAUUGACGUAGCAUGGGCAUUGAUGGACCCAUUCAGUUUCUUAAUUCUGAUUUGUAUUAACACCUCACUGCCUUAAUCCAUUCGGAUAGAGUGUUACGUCUUUCUUUUCACGUUUAGCCCAUUGCCUGGCAUAAUCCUCGAUUGAGUCCACCAAAAUUUUAAAGUUGUAUUUCAAAUUGAUGGAUUUAGGCUCACGAUAUUUCGGACCUUUCGAUAACACAUUUCGUAAAGAAUUGUUAUUAACAAUGUUAAGGUCACCGGUAAUAACAUGGCCAGCAGGAUUAUAUGUGAAUUGGGAACUAGCACAAGUGCAAUCAGGAGGUUUAGACUUGAAGUUGUCAAUAUCGAGAUUCUGCAAAACGCGUUUGUAAUUGAAAAUUUUAGUUGCAAUAGGUUUAGUAUAGGUAUAAGAAAUUAUUGGUACAGAAUGGUCUUUGAAAUAAGGACGUAUUUUCGAUUGAACUAAUUUAUGAUGAAGGAUAUUGCCUAGGUUUACGCCAUCGAGACCUUUGUUGGCAAAGGAAAGAUUUAGAAAAGAUCUUUUCUCUUUUUCAUCUUUUCCAAUGCGAACUGGCUUGAAAAGUCUGUGACUUGCAAUAUCCGAAAUUAUAGCUUGAAGUUUGUAUUGGUUUGAAUGAGGGUUUGUAACAGUGGAUUCCAACCAUAAAUUGAACAAAGAAUGAAGUUUUGAAAGGGGUUAUGAAUAAAGUUUCGUGCGAAUGUGAUGAAUACCUAACGGCUUUUGUAUGAAUGACAGCAAGUCGUUAAUAGAGACAUUAUGCAGAGAAGGUGAUGUAUAAUGACGAUGACCAUGACUGCGUCCACGUCAAAGAGUCGAGUUGAAAAUAUUCAUCACAUUCACCGAGUUACACGAAGGACUAGAUAGAAUACCUAUAACAUUAAUUUUGUCAUUGCAGCCAUACGGUGUUGCAGUUCCCAAUUGUCUAAUCCAGUAGUCUUCUUUUUGUUUACGGAGAGUCGUUGAAAGAUUAGGAACAUCAAGUUAAUAAUAGAUACUUUUGUCAUGAACUUUAUUCUUGUCUAAAAUGUUAGAGAUUGUUCUUUGUUUGAAAUGCAAACGAACAAAGAUGAGCGACACGGGAUCAAAGAGUUUUUUCAAUAAAUAUACUAGUAUACUUGUUUAGUAUUCCAAUAGCGACUGAGUAGUUUUUCUCACUCAAAAGUCGCUGGAUGCUAAAACUGGCUUGUGCGUUCAUAACACACUUGUGGAAACUGUAGAGCUUGUGUUCGUAAAAUGAUCUUUACUCAAUUAAAGUAACAGUUAAUGCCUAUUGUAAAUAGAAUUGAGAAUAGAAAUGAGGAAUGUGUCAAAAAGACAACUUCCAAACCAAAGAGUAGAAAACUGCCGAAGGCCACCUAUGGGUCUUAAAUACAGCGAGAACAAAUUCCGCUCCCUGAAGCGUACUCCAGCUGACCCGUAAACAAAAACUAGUACCAGUUCAGUGACAAUGGACGUCACAAUGUAGUAAAGAACAUAUGCCAAGACUAUAGUAUCAACGGGGUCAAUCAUUUCAAUAGUACCCUUGCUUUAUUAAAUGAAUUGAAAUUAUUUUUUAAAAGUUUUCAGGUUGUUGUUUUUCCUAAACAUUUCAUUCGUUUGUGUUAAUUUAUCAUACUUUUCUUAUCCCCUGUUUGUUGUUAUUUCUUGUCCUUUCAAUGUGACAGCUAUUUAGGUGUUUUACUACUUUAUUGUUUUAAUAGUAGUUCCUUUAUUCCUGAACCUGGACAUAACAUAAGAGUAAGGUUUUGAUUUAAUUAAACUAGCAUACACCUGGUGGAUUAUUUAGUUCUACUUCCAAUGCUCGAAAUAUAUAAGUCAUGGUUUAUGUGCUUGUCCCCGUAUACUUAAUAGUGUACAGAUUAGUAUUUUGAAAUAAUAUUGUGCCCUUAAAUGUGAUAAAUCUUUUAUCAUGGAUGUUUGGUUUCCGGCCGUAUUGAAGCUCAGACCGUAAAACAUGGAUAUACGUUUUAUGUGUUUCAUUGUGCAAUAAUACGACAUCUUUAGGCCUUGUCAUGUAUGCGUUUUUUCCUUUCGUUGUUUGAUAUUACAAUUAAUUUAAUCAAAUCAUUCUGUAAUCAAACAAUUAACAAGAAUUGCACAAUUUAUUACGGAACAGUUACAACUUCGUUGGAAUUCUUCGUCUUAUGUUGCGCUGAUAAUAUAUAUGUAUUCGUAUGCCAACUUUGACAGCACACACAAGUCGAAAGUGUAUCGCUCUCGCAUACUGCUUGUGGUGCGAACAUUGUUAAAAAAUAUUUCUUUGUUUAUUAUGAACACGAUUAUAAAUAUCAUGGCCUGUCAGUUUCUUCUCUCAAAAUAAUAUCUACACGCAUAUGGUAUCUUAAAUCCUUUAUUUUCAUGAUUUGUAUAAUUAUAAUUCAGUUUCAUAUUCUAAUGUAAAUUUUCUUACAUAAAAAAAAGGUAUACUAAAAUUAAAAUGGACAGGAAGAAUGUAUCAAAGAGAAAACAACGCGACCACUGAACAGAAAACAGCCAAAGGUCACACAUUAUCAUCAACAAAGGGAGAAGGCGUGCUUCAGCUGGCCCCUAAAUAAAAAUGUGUACUAGUGCAGUGAUAAUAGACGUCAUACUAAACUCCGAAACAUAUAUAUGAACUAAAAUAUGAACCGAUGCAAAAACCUUAUAAGUGAAUCAACUUUUGAAGCCAAAAUAUCUAAUCUUUAAUGACUGUACAACAGUAUCGUAACUAUAUCCCUUCUUGAUAAGUCUGUUUAAAGGUUAGGUCAGCCUUUCAGGUGAAUGUGAUAUUGUUGUGCUAUGUAAUGGAAUAAAGCUAUACGUUCUUGUAAUAAUACCUACAUUUAUACAAUAAAAGAUUUUUUUUAUAUUUCAGAGAUUUAGAGAACAAUCAAUUUACUACAUUGCCAAACGGAUCGUUUCAAGAAUUGACCUCACUCGACGAGUUGUAUGUAUAUAUUUGUACAAAUGCGUUCUGAGAAUAGGCUAGAUUUUAUGUCUGUCGAGUUGUCUUUCUUCCCUUUUUUUACAUGUUAUUUCUAAACAAAUACUUCUCUAUGCUACGUUUUGAUCGUGUUUAGGAUUGACAUCGCUCGACAAGCUGUAUUUACAAAUAAGUAGAAACAUAAAACUAGAUACAGCUUCCUUAAGGUUUCAUAUAUCUAAGCAUAUACAUAUGAAUAUAUAACUCGUCUAAACAUCAACCCAACAAUGUUAGAUCUGUAAAUUUGCUUUCACAAAUUUUUGGUUCUUCCCUCGCCGGGAUUCGAACCCAUGCUACUGUGAUAUCGUGACACCAAAUAGCCUGCACUGCAGCCGUCCCGCUAGACCACACCACCACCUUGGUUCAUAUGAAUAUAUAUAUACAUAUUAUCACAUGACAGAAAAGAACGAAAGCGGAUGAACAUUAUAAGAAUAUGAUAGCAUAUCAUAUAAAAAAAAUGUUGUAUGAUUGGCAAUGAGACAAAUAUCCUCCAUAUUUCAGAUGACGUGGAUGUAAGCAAAUUUAGCCUAUCGUUCGACUUUCAACAACGAGAAAAAAUCAAUACUGUAUAUUUGACUAUCACAGUAACCGAAUUGAAGAAUAUGAAACAAUACAAACGAAGAAAUUAACUGUCUUAUUCUAACAAUUACAAUUUAUAAAAAGCAAAUAUGGUAGACACUGAUCUUCAGGCUUCUGACUUGGGACAGGCACAUACGUGACGGGGUUAAACUUGUACAGAAGUGUUAUAGCACAAGAUAGAACAAAAUGUAAAAACAAUUUUUCAUUCAACGUUUGUAUAAAUACUCUUGAAAAAUACCUAAAUUAAAAGUAUUAUAAACGCGAAUCAGGAAAGCGCUUAGUAAAAAAAAAGACAUGUAAGGAGAGGCUUAAAUAAAAGCUUAGGUCAAAACGCCUGAUGAAGGGACCAAAGCAAAACGUUCUUAAAAUGUUUCCCGACAUUUAUACCAUAAAGAAACUUUUUUUGUUUCAGAAGUUUGGUCAACAAUCAAAUUACUACAAUACAGAACGGAUCAUUUCAAGGAUUGACAUCGCUAUACAAGCUGUAUGUAUAACUGUAUACAAAUAAGAAUAAAACAAACGUUUGGAUAGUAUUUCCAUUGCGUUUGUUAUACAAAAAGAAUUAUGAAACACAUUACUAUUUGCUAGAAAGGAACGAAAGAAUAUAAACGAAACGUCAUCAAGAGUUUUGAAAAAAAAAUCAAUAUUCCUGUUAUUUUUAUCUACAGUUAAGUAAAACAAACUGCAAAUUUGUACUUCACAUAAAACAAUUAAAGAAAUUCUAAAUGAUUUUAUUUUAAGAAAUAUGACUGCUAUUCAGAACAUGAAACAUGUUCAUUUGAAUGGUCGUUUACGCAAUCCUCAAUACUUCUGUCGGUUUUUUUUUCGUUUCUUUAUAAUGUUAUAAAUGUAGUUUCUUAUAUUGAGAGGAUUCUUUAAGAAUCUGUGGUUUCAUAUUAUCUUGCACACUUUACACACAGAGGAAAAGAUAAAAAAAGUAUGAUAAAAACACUUGAAAUUUAUUUAAAUUAAUAAAAAGUAAUAUUAACGGAAAACAUACAAAAAGCAGACAAAAAGACAUGUGAGAUAGAGGGCUUAUAAAAUGUUUCCUUCAUUUUUACGAUAAAAAACUGAUUUUUAUUACUACAAUACAUCACGGAUUGUUUCAUGGAGUGACAUCGCUAUACGAGCUGUAUGUAUAACGUUAUGCAAUUUAGUAUAAACAAAAUUCUAGAUACUAUGUUCAUUCAGUUUGUUAUAUGUUAACACUUAUAGAUAUACACUACUCGUUGACAGAAGAGACAUAAUCUUUAUAAACAAAGUGUCAUUAGGAUUAAACAAGAGUAUAUUUUUAUUUCACAAAAACUAAACAAAGGAAAUUCUAAAUGAUCGUAUUCUAAGAAUUAUUACUGCUAUUCAAAAGAUGAAACAUGUCUAUUCAAAAAUGGUCGUUAACAUUAUUCUCAAUACAACUGCCGAUUUUGUUUUUGAUUCGUUAUCAAGUUAUAGGGAUGCUCUCAGCUGUCUGGAAGGGUAAGCAGAUCCUGCUCAAUAUGAGGCACCUAUCGCGCAUGUUAUUACAAACCCGGUAAAUAGUCUAAUUCGGUAUAAGCUGAUUAUAUUCCUUUUAAUUUCUUAAAUUAAGAGGAUACUUUGAGAUUAAUUUGGUGUCAUAUUAUUUAGAUACUUUUACACACAAAGGGAAAGAUAUAAGUAUGAUAAAAACCAUUAAAAACAUCUAUAUUAAAGUAAUAUAAACAAAAAACAUACAAAAAAAGCAGAACAAAAGACAUGUGAUGUAAGAGAUGUUGUAUAAAAGCUGAGAUAAAAACGCCUAAUGAAGGGACCAAAGUAAAACGAUCUUCAAAUAAAGGCAACAUUAGUAUACCGCUGUUCAAAACUCGUAAAUCUAUGGACAGAAAACAAAAUCGGGGUAACAAACUAAAACUGAGGGAAACGCAUUAAAUAUAAGAGGAGAACAACGUCACAACAUUAAAAUGUAACACACACAGAAACGGAUAAAUCAUUAGACAAAAUCCGAUGAGAAUAACAAAUAUAACAUCAAAACCAAAUACAUAAAUUUGGGAUAGAAAAGUACCGUCACACGUCUUAUAGUAAAGUGAAUUCACACUCAAAUAUAAGAGAAAACAAACGACACAACGGAAACACAACGUAAAAAUGUUACACACACAGAAACGGACUAUAAUAUAACAACAUCUUGACUUGGUACAAGACAUUUUUAAAGAAAAAAAUGAUUGGUUGAAACUUGUUUUGUGGCAUGCCAAACCUCGCACUUUAAUGGCAAUGUUAAAUAUAACAUUAAAAUGACAACAUAAUAUUACAGGACUACAAUACAAAUACAUAGGAGAACAUAUUAGACAAAGAAACACAUGAAUAAUAGAUAACAAAAGGCAUCAGAUUUAAAAUUAAAUACGCCAAAAACUCGCCUCGUCCACACAAGAUAGCAGUGACGCCCAGAUAUAAAAGUUCGAAAGUCAAAAAAAGUACAAAGUUGUACAGCAUUGAGGAUCAAAAGUUGAAAAAGGUUGUACCAAAUACGGCUUGGAUUUUCUGCUUAUGAUAAGAACAUUCUUAUUAUCAAGAACAAUUUAUGCUAUUGCAAACAGUAAAUUUUAUCAAAUGAAUAUAAAAGAUAUACAUGAUAAAACUGAAGUCUUAACUAAUUACAGAAAACAAAAACCGGAAUACAUAAUAUAGACCAACACUGAAAAUAGUCACACCCGACUUAUUCCAGGCCUCAACGCAAACAGUCAUAAAAAUUACGUCACAUACGAAGUGGUGAAAACGCACAAAAAAACGUCACACUUGAAUUUCUGAAACGGCACAAAAAUGACGUCACAUUUUAAAAACUAUAUCUCAAAAAUAAGAUAGAAUUAGGAUUGAUUUUAGAUUAUAAUAGAACUAAAUACUGAUAUUACAUUUAAACACAAUGCACAUUGCAAUACUUUAUUAAUAGCAAUUAACUAUAUCAUAUAUAUGUCCUGUUUGUUUUGAAUCUGACUUCAAACGUAAAACAUCAUACAGACUAAGUUGAACAAAAUCAAAUCUAAUAAAUGAAGGCGGUGAUUAAUUUUCUUUACCAUAACAAAUGAAUAUAAUAGAAAAGACGUCACCAAAUUUGACAAAAUCCGAUGAGAAUUACAAAUAUAACAUCAAACUAAAUACAUGAAUUUGGGAUAGAUAAGUACCGUAACACGUCUUAUAGUAAUGCGAAUUCACACUCAGCAAAACAGUCACAAUCUGGAAUAAGUUCGGUAAUUAAAAGAUUAGACGACGUAAUGACAAACCACAAUGUACCAUGUGUUAAAAAUGUCCUUAGUUAGUUUGGUCAAAGACACAUCGUAUGGAUCAACUUAUUCGUGAUGGUGUCCAUAAGAGUGUCAAUUUUAAUCUGUCUUCCUCAUAACUUUGUUGAAGCAGUUUCUGUGUAAGGAGUACACUUCUGUAUAUGAAGUUCGUAUAGUGUGAACAAGCACGAGAAUAACGUAUCAAUUGUGAUAUGUAAACACCAUACGAAAGGGCAGAGGGUAUAUUACUGCUGAGAAAUGGGAAAUUGAUCAUUGGGAAGUUGAAAUCGUCCCGUUUAUCAUAGAUUUUUGUGUGAAGUCGUCCUACUGCGUCAAUAUUGAGGAAAAUAUCAAGGUAUGAAGCAGUCCUUCUAGUAUCAGUAGUAUCCUUAAUUUCAAGUUCGCUGGGAUAUAUGAGAUGUAAGUAUUGGCUGAAGUAUGGGUUAUUCAAUGAUAGAACAUCAUCAAUAUAUCGAUAAGUAAAACUAAAGAAUUUCGCAAGGUGCUGUUUCUUUUUGUCUUUUAUAUUCAUUUGAUUUUUUCAAAUGUUUCCUUCAUUUAAACCAUCAAGAAACUUAUUUUGUUUCAGAAAUUUGAGAAACAAUCAAAUUACUACAAUACAUCACGGAUCGUUUCAAGGAUUAACAUCGCUAUACGAGCUGUAUGUAUAACUGUAUACACAUAAGAAUAAAUAAACGUCUAGAUAUCAUGCUAACUCAGUUUGCUAUACUAAAAAAUGUUAUAAAAACACUACUAUUUGAUAGAAAGGAACGAAAGUAUAUAAACGAAACCGCAUCAAGAGUUUUGAGAAAAAAAAUAAUAUUUCUGUUAAUUUUUAGCUACAGUAAAGUAAAACAAACUGCACAUACGUACUUCACAUAAAACAAUAAAAGAAAAUCUAAAUGAUUAUAUUUUCAGAAAUAUGACUGCUAUUCAAAACAUGAAACAUGUUCAUUGAAAUGGUCGUUUACGCAAUCCACAAUACUACUGUCGGUUUUUCUUUAUAAUGUUAUAAAUGUAAUCUGCAUAUACUGUCCUUUCAGUUUCUUAUAUUGAGAGGAUUCUUUAAGAAUCUGUGGUUUCAUAUUAUAAGGCACACUUUACACACAAAGGAAAAGAUAAAAAAAGUAUGAUAAAAACACUUGAAAAUUAUAUAAAUUAAUAAAAAGUAAUAUUAACGGAAAACAUACAAAAAGCAGACAAAGACAUGUGAGGUAGAGGCCUUAUAAAAUGUUUCCUUCAUUUUUACGAUAAAAAAAAACUGGUUUUGUUUCAGACAUUUGGGGAACAAUCAAAUUGCUACAAUACAUCACGGAUUGUUUCAUGGAUUGACAUCGUUAUACGAGCUGUAUGUAUAACUAUAUUCAAAUAAGAAUAAACAAACGUCUGGAUAUCAUGUUCAUUCAGUUUGUUAUAUGUAAACAAUUAUAAAUACACACUACUCUUUGACAGAAGAGAAAUAAUCUUUUACAACUGCUGAUUUUUUGUUUUGAUUCGUUAUCAAGUUAUAUAUAUAUAGGGAUGCUCUCAGCUGUCUGAAAGGGUAAUCAGAUCCUGCUCAAUAUGAGGCACCUAUAGUGUUGCGCAUGUUAUUACAAACCCGGUAAAUAGUCUAAUUAGGUAUAAGCUGAUUAUAUUCCUGUUAAUUUUUUAAAUUAAGAGGAUACUUUGAGAUUAAUUUGGUUUCAUAUUAUUUAGAUACUUUUACACACAAAGGAAAAGGUAUAAGUAUGAUAAAAACCAUUGAAAACAUCUAUAUUAAAUAAAAUAAACAAAAAACAUACAAAAAAGCAGAACAAAAGACAUGUGCUGUAAGAGAUUUUGCAUAAAAGCUGAAGUCAAAACGCCCAAUAAAGGGACCACAGUAAAACGGUCUUCAAAAGUAUCCUUCAUUUAAACCAUAAAGAAACUUGUCUUUUUUCAGACAUUUGGAUAACAAUCAAAUUACUACAAUACAGCACGGAUUAUUUCAAGGAUUAACAUCGCUAUACGAGCUGUAUGUAUAACUUUAUACAAAUAAAAAUAAACAAAAGUCUGGAUAUUAUUUCCAUUGCACUUGUUAUAUCUAAAAAACUAUAUAACGUUACGUUAAUUUAACCAAACUAAAAAAAUGUAUACGGCCUGCUCUAACAGAGUCAAGGGGUGAAAGAUUGGAAAUGGUUCUCCGUAACUUUUAUGAAAACCAUCAUGAAUUCACUGGGGUAAAGCUGAUGACCGUAACUGCAUUCACGGUCAUCCCAAGAUGUCGGAUGAAAAAUUAGGUCAGUUUCUGUAUUGUCUGUUCAAGUGUUUCUAUAUCAUUUUCUUUACAAAUCAUACAUUGAAACGAUGUAAAUUUAUAAAAGAAUCACUCGGAAAUCACUAAUUACUUCUGAGAAAUGUGCAUGAAACGGGAAAUUCGAUUUGAAAAAAAUCGCCAAGAUGACGUAAAUCACAAUCGAGAUGACCGUAACAGAAUCAGGCGAUUCAUGACAAGGCUAAUUUGACCCGUAACUUUGAUGACCCUCAAUUUAAGAAAUAUCCCGUAUUUAUAUAACUAUCUUUUUGUAUAAAUGAUGUAAUCGUGUUGUAUACACAUAAUUUUAAAUAUGAGAGUUUUAUCCUAUAGGUAGAGAAGAAUAAUAAGACGUGCUUCAAAUGCAAAGAUUACCAUAUGUAUCUUUUUUACAGUAGAGUGUUUAAUUUUUAAAAUGAAUUUGCCAAAAGAUAUGCAAAUGAACAGGAAGGGAAAACAUGCUACAAAAGCGCGAUAAAAUGACACCUUACAAGUAUAAUGAAAAAAAAUGCGGUGCACAGUUCAACUGCUCGACAUAAGAUUUUUUUUUGUUUCUGGGAUUCCUUUUAAUGACAUAUAAUAAAUACACAUUUUUAAAAAUGCCAAAAAAAUGCAUGUACACCCGAUAUUAAUACGUCUUUCAUUUUGUCGUGCAAAUAAAAUAACAGAAAUAUUUUGAAAAUAUCAUUCGAAUAAACUAGUGAAGGUGAGCUCCAGCAAAGUAGAUCCUUAAAAUAGUAUUGUACGAAAAUCGUAUCACAAGGCGGAACGUUGUCAAUUUGCAUAUACAAUGUAUACAGAAAUGUUAUUCAUACAUUCAGGAUUCUACUUCUUCAAAAUUAUCUCCCCAUUACGCCAGUUCAUGC
Molecule: long non-coding RNA, 14773 nt
Filed under: Mytilus galloprovincialis (Mediterranean mussel)
Lineage: Eukaryota; Metazoa; Mollusca; Bivalvia; Mytilida; Mytilidae
Source: RNAcentral